RNAcentral lists this ribosomal RNA (489 nucleotides) under uncultured bacterium. RNAcentral's name for it is "bacterial SSU rRNA". It matches the Rfam family "Bacterial small subunit ribosomal RNA", at positions 30 to 518 of the family's 1533-position model. The record is from RNAcentral.
UGAACGCUGGCGGCGUGCCUAACACAUGCAAGUCGAACGGGGUACUGGCAGCGGAGAUUCGGUCGAGGCAGCCGUUAACCUAGUGGCGGACGGGUGAGUAACGCGUGGGGAACCUGCCCUGGUACUGGGGGAUAACAGUGAGAAAUCACUGCUAAUACCGCAUAAGCGCACAGCAUCGCAUGAUGCAGUGUGAAAAACUGAGGUGGUACAGGAUGGCUCCGCGUUGGAUUAGCCAGUUGGCGGGGUAACGGCCCACCAAAGCGAUGAUCCGUAGCCGGCCUGAGAGGGCGACCGGCCACAUUGGGACUGAGACACGGCCCAAACUCCUACGGGAGGCAGCAGUGGGGGAUAUUGCACAAUGGGGGGAACCCUGAUGCAAGCGACGCCGCGUAAAGGAAGACGUGCUCCGGCAUGUAAACUUCUAUCAGCAGGGAAGAAGAUGACGGUACCUGACUAAGAAGCCCCGGCUAACUACGUGCCAGCCGCAGC